CUUUUGUAUACUAUUCAUUUAUUUUGUGUGUGUCUAGUGCACAGGAAAAAGCUCAGUGUAAUAAAAUUAACAACUGCAGCUGUAGAAUGAGUAAUACCGCAACCCAAGCCUAAGACUGGCAAGUCACAAUGCUUUGCCAGCCCUUGAAUGGAAGUCACUCAUGUGGGAAACAGAAAAUCCAUCUUUCAAUUGUCCCAGAAGGUUCUUUCUCAACAUGAAUGUUUCUAUAAGUUGUUUAUAUCCCGUUGACUGUAACGCUAUUACCUCGAUUGGGAACAGAUGUUGAUAAAAAAUAAAUUUGGAGAAGCUGAAUGUUUUCUCUAAGGACACACAGCAAGUUAGUGGGAGGCUGCUUCCUGCAACUGAAGGUCAUUCCUCUUUGUUAGAAGACUAAGGGUCCCUGACCUGAUCUGUGGAGCACCAGGGUGGAGAGAGUGGAAUAAGCAGCAAAACGAAAAAUUGGAUGCUGUUUUCAAAAGUUUUGUUCUCAUUCUUGGAUUAUAGAUUAUCUAAAGGGAAAAUUUAACUCAACCAAAAAAUUCGUUCAGCUCCAUGAAGCUAAAGAUGCUAUAAACUGACUCUUUCCUAAAGAGCACCAAACCUGAAAUUUUUCCUGCUAGAGAGGAACUAAUCUUCAAGGACACCUGUCUAUUGCUAGACAUUAAGAAGGAAGGUGAACUCCGUUCUGUCUUCAUAAAACACAUUUUUGUCUUUCCCCCUCACUCCUCCACUGAACCCACUAUGUUUACAAGUACAAGCUAUGACUGUGGAGGUGGAAAAUCUGAUACUGUCAGCACAAGUGGAACAAAAUGAAAAGAGAAAAAAAUCUACACACCCAUCUGGACUUCCAUAUGCUCUGUAGCCCAGAGGCUAAUAUAAUUCCUUGAAUGUUGGUUAUAAAGCAAUGUGAUAUGGAUGACUGCUAUGCACUGAGCUUAUUUAGACAAGUGUUCUUUCUACUCAAUAAACCUUUGAAAGGAUUAAAGUACAAUCACUC
Molecule: long non-coding RNA, 997 nt
Filed under: Homo sapiens (human)
Lineage: Eukaryota; Metazoa; Chordata; Mammalia; Primates; Hominidae
Description: HSALNT0202668
Source: RNAcentral